GAGAGAGAGAGAGAGAUUUAGAAAAAGCUGGCAAUAGUAGUGCCAUGAUAUGAGCCUUAAGGACAAUCAAAGUCAUUAAGGCCCCUGAGAAUGGCUACAACA
RNAcentral lists this small nucleolar RNA (102 nucleotides) under Dipodomys ordii (Ord's kangaroo rat). RNAcentral's name for it is "Small nucleolar RNA SNORA33 (ENSDORG00000020617.2)". It matches the Rfam family "Small nucleolar RNA SNORA33", at positions 27 to 130 of the family's 130-position model. Rfam says of the family: ACA33 is a member of the H/ACA class of snoRNA that guide the sites of modification of uridines to pseudouridines. The record is from RNAcentral. Lineage: Eukaryota; Metazoa; Chordata; Mammalia; Rodentia; Heteromyidae.